RNAcentral lists this ribosomal RNA (490 nucleotides) under uncultured bacterium. Its description in RNAcentral is "partial 16S ribosomal RNA". It matches the Rfam family "Bacterial small subunit ribosomal RNA", at positions 29 to 507 of the family's 1533-position model. The record is from RNAcentral.
AAUGAACGCUGGCGGCAUGCCUUACACAUGCAAGUCGAACGGCAGCAUGACCUAGCUUGCUAGGUUGAUGGCGAGUGGCGAACGGGUGAGUAAUGCAUCGGAACGUGCCUUUUAGUGGGGGAUAACGUAGCGAAAGUUACGCUAAUACCGCAUAUUCUCUGAGGAGGAAAGCAGGGGACCUUCGGGCCUUGCGCUAGAAGAGCGGCCGAUGUCGGAUUAGCUAGUUGGUGAGGUAAAGGCUCACCAAGGCAACGAUCCGUAGCGGGUCUGAGAGGAUGAUCCGCCACACUGGGACUGAGACACGGCCCAGACUCCUACGGGAGGCAGCAGUGGGGAAUUUUGGACAAUGGGCGCAAGCCUGAUCCAGCCAUGCCGCGUGAGUGAAGAAGGCCUUCGGGUUGUAAAGCUCUUUCGGCUGGGAAGAAAUCGCACCCUCUAAUACAGGGUGUGGAUGACGGUACCAGCAUAAGAAGCACCCGCUAACUACGUG